GUGGGGAAUCUUCCGCAAUGGACGAAAGUCUGACGGAGCAACGCCGCGUGAACGAUGACGGCCUUCGGGUUGUAAAGUUCUGUUAUACGGGACGAAUGGUACGACGGCCAAUACCCGUCGUAAGUGACGGUACCGUAAGAGAAAGCCACGGCUAACUACGUGCCAGCAGCCACGGUAAUACGUAGGUGGCAAGCGUUGUCCGGAAUUAUUGGGCGUAAAGGGCGCGCAGGCGGCGUCGUAAGUCGGUCUUAAAAGUGCGGGGCUUAACCCCGUGAGGGGACCGAAACUGCGAUGCUAGAGUAUCGGAGAGGAAAGCGGAAUUCCUAGUGUAGCGGUGAAAUGCGUAGAUAUUAGGAGGAACACCAGUGGCGAAAGCGGCUUUCUGGACGACAACUGACGCUGAGGCGCGAAAGCCAGGGGAGCAAACGGGAUUAGAAACCCGGGUAGUCC
Molecule: ribosomal RNA, 450 nt
Filed under: uncultured bacterium
Lineage: Bacteria
Description: partial 16S ribosomal RNA
Rfam family: Bacterial small subunit ribosomal RNA
Source: RNAcentral